UCAAAUCCUAAUCAAAUCCUAAAUAAGUUCUAAACAAACUCUAGUCAAAUCUUAGUCAGACCAUAGUCAAACACUAAUUGAACCUUAAUCAAAUCCUAAACAAAUCCUAACCAAAUCCUAAUCAAAUCCUAAAUAAAUCUUAGUCAAAUCCUAAAAAAGCUUUAAUCAAAUCCUAGACAAAUCAUAAUCAAAUCCUAAUCAAAUCCUAAAAAAAUCCUAACCAAAUCAUAAUCAAAUCUUAAAUAAAUCCUAGUCAAAUCCUAAAUAAAACCUAAUCAAAUCCUAUACAAAUCUUAAUCAAAUCCUAGACAAACCUUAGUAAAAUCCUAAACAAACCUAACCAAACCUUAAUUAAUCUCAAGUAAUUCCUGUAGUAGAUUUAAACCUCAAUAACUAAUGAAUGAACUUAUAAUUUUAACUCAAAUUUUGUACACCUCUGAACAAUUAAG
This 449-nucleotide long non-coding RNA is filed under the name Physcomitrium patens. Its description in RNAcentral is "long non-coding RNA (PPAT_LNC011848)". Lineage: Eukaryota; Viridiplantae; Streptophyta; Bryopsida; Funariales; Funariaceae. The record is from RNAcentral.